This 253-nucleotide ribosomal RNA is filed under the name uncultured bacterium. RNAcentral's name for it is "partial 16S ribosomal RNA". It matches the Rfam family "Bacterial small subunit ribosomal RNA", at positions 524 to 776 of the family's 1533-position model. The record is from RNAcentral.
UACGAGGGGGGCGAGCGUUGUUCGGAAUUAUUGGGCGUAAAGGGUGCGUAGGCGGUUUGGUAAGUCUUGUGUGAAAUCUCUGGGCUCAACUCAGAGUCUGCACGAGAAACUGCCGGGCUUGAGUGUGGGAGAGGUGAGUGGAAUUCCUGGUGUAGCGGUGAAAUGCGUAGAUAUCUGGAGGAACACCGGUGGCGAAGGCGGCAUCCUGGACCGGCAUUGACGCUGAGGCGCGAAAGCCAGGGGAGCAAACGGG